AUGCCAAAUUUCAGAAUUUUAAUCUCUUCACUAUUGACUCUGGAUGCUGUCAGCCCGCUUCCUCCUUUUGUCGCAAUCUCUCCGUCUAAAGGUUAGCAUCACUGCGAUAGGAUUUGAUCCUCUUCUUUCCCGACGAUGAUGAACAUAAUUACAUUCUUAACAAGUGAAUUAAAUUACAGCAUGAUUUCUCUAACAAUGAGCGCUCUCCUCGCGACGGGCUGAAGAGAAGCUGAGCUGCUGGCAUGCGGGAGCCCACACCAUGCUUCAGAAUGACCAUUGAUCCUGUAUAAAAAAAAGGAAACGGACUCUUUCAGCCCUGCAGAAAGAGUGAGGUCUCAGCUCCAUGCCUGUGCAUCACCCCAGACUGAGAACACCUCCACCCCUGGCUCAGCAAGUUAUUAUUCUGUGCAAGCACGAUGCCCUCCCAGGACAACACUACAGGACGGCAUUUGCUUGGAUAAAACAGUUUGGCAACACUUGCUCUUGAGGAAAUUUGUGGUCUGUGCGUUGGGGAAUGACUCAGUGGAGCCAGGAGCUGUCUGAAAGCCCCCGCUGAGGAUUUGCUCUGAGCACAGCCUGCAGGGCUGGUGGGUGGGCAAACAAUGU
Molecule: long non-coding RNA, 606 nt
Filed under: Chrysolophus pictus (golden pheasant)
Lineage: Eukaryota; Metazoa; Chordata; Aves; Galliformes; Phasianidae
Description: lncRNA (ENSCPIG00010008643.1)
Source: RNAcentral